AACGAACGCUGGCGGCAUGCCUAACACAUGCAAGUCGAACGAGACCUUCGGGUCUAGUGGCGCACGGGUGCGUAACGCGUGGGAACCUGCCCUUAGGUUCGGAAUAACUCCCCGAAAGGGGUGCUAAUACCGGAUAAUGUCUUCGGACCAAAGAUUUAUCGCCUUUGGAUGGGCCCGCGUUGGAUUAGCUAGUUGGUAGGGUAAAAGCCUACCAAGGCGACGAUCCAUAGCUGGUCUGAGAGGAUGAUCAGCCACACUGGGACUGAGACACGGCCCAGACUCCUACGGGAGGAAGCAGUGGGGAAUUUUGGACAGUGGGCGAAAGCCUGAUCCACCAAUGCCGCGUGAGGGAUGAAGGCCUUAGGGUGGUAAAGCUCUUUUACCCGGGAUGAUAAUGACAGUCCCGGGAGAAUAAGCCCCGGCUAACUCCGG
Molecule: ribosomal RNA, 432 nt
Filed under: uncultured bacterium
Lineage: Bacteria
Description: partial 16S ribosomal RNA
Rfam family: Bacterial small subunit ribosomal RNA
Source: RNAcentral